Molecule: unclassified non-coding RNA, 316 nt
Filed under: uncultured Bartonella sp.
Lineage: Bacteria; Pseudomonadati; Pseudomonadota; Alphaproteobacteria; Hyphomicrobiales; Bartonellaceae
Description: partial 16S-23S ribosomal RNA intergenic spacer
Rfam family: tRNA (bases 50-123)
Source: RNAcentral
UUUCCGUUUCUCAGAUUAUGCUGGGGAAGGUUUUCCGGUUUAUCCCGGAGGGCUUGUAGCUCAGUUGGUUAGAGCGCGCGCUUGAUAAGCGUGAGGUCGGAGGUUCAAGUCCUCCCAGGCCCACCAAUUUAAUUAAGUGCUGAUAAAGUGCUUAUUAUAAGGUGCACACAACAUGUGUAGUUUAUCAAUUAUGCUGAAGCGAUUUUGACUCAGAUUAAGUUUAUAUAUAAAUUUAUGAGUUUUGUUUUUUAUCCUUUUUAGGGGCCGUAGCUCAGCUGGGAGAGCACCUGCUUUGCAAGCAGGGGGUCGUCGGUUC